CCUACGGGAGGCAGCAGUGGGGAAUAUUGGACAAUGGGGGCAACCCUGAUCCAGCCAUGCCGCGUGUGUGAAGAAGGCUUUCGGGUUGUAAAGCACUUUCAGUGAGGAGGAAAACUCUGCGACUAAUACUCGUAGGGCUUGACGUUACUCACAGAAGAAGCACCGGCUAACUCCGUGCCAGCAGCCGCGGUAAU
RNAcentral lists this ribosomal RNA (194 nucleotides) under uncultured bacterium. RNAcentral's name for it is "partial 16S ribosomal RNA". It matches the Rfam family "Bacterial small subunit ribosomal RNA", at positions 338 to 524 of the family's 1533-position model. The record is from RNAcentral.